UUGACCUCGGAUCAGGUAGGGAUACCCGCUGAACUUAAGCAUAUCAAUAAGCGGAGGAAAAGAAACCAACAGGGAUUGCCUCAGUAACGGCGAGUGAAGCGGCAACAGCUCAAAUUUGAAAUCUGACCCCCUCGGGGCCCGAGUUGUAAUUUGUAGAGGGUGUUUUCGGGCGCGGCGCCGGUCUAAGUUCUUGGAACAGGACGUCACAGAGGGUGAGAAU
Molecule: ribosomal RNA, 220 nt
Filed under: Pseudocyphellaria crocata
Lineage: Eukaryota; Fungi; Ascomycota; Lecanoromycetes; Peltigerales; Lobariaceae
Description: partial 26S ribosomal RNA
Rfam family: Eukaryotic large subunit ribosomal RNA
Source: RNAcentral